This is a long non-coding RNA of Bufo bufo (common toad), 216 nucleotides long. RefSeq lists it as uncharacterized. The record is from RefSeq and is a predicted model, not a curated record. NCBI's taxonomy places the organism in Eukaryota, Metazoa, Chordata, Amphibia, Anura, Bufonidae. The transcript has 2 exons.
GGACUGACUGCUAUUUAGUGCAGCUGUGACUUGUUGAGCCCAGUUUAAAUGCUGGUGCACAGGUCCCUGCCCAGCUCAUUCCCCUUCCAGGAUGUUGCCUGUAGUAGUGGAAGGUCUGGUGGUGCUCUGCCUGGUCUCCAGCAUUCAGGCAGGAAAACGGUUUCAGGAUGUAAUGGAGUUUGGAAGGAAAUCUGGCUCUAGAGGUCCCGGCAACCA